RNAcentral lists this ribosomal RNA (253 nucleotides) under uncultured bacterium. RNAcentral describes it as "partial 16S ribosomal RNA". It matches the Rfam family "Bacterial small subunit ribosomal RNA", at positions 524 to 776 of the family's 1533-position model. The record is from RNAcentral.
UACGUAGGGUGCGAGCGUUAAUCGGAAUUACUGGGCGUAAAGCGUGCGCAGGCGGUCAGUUAAGUCUGAUGUGAAAGCCCCGGGCUCAACCUGGGAAUGGCAUUGGAAACUGGCUUGCUGGAGUGUGGCAGAGGGGGGUGGAAUUCCGCGUGUAGCAGUGAAAUGCGUAGAGAUGCGGAGGAACACCGAUGGCGAAGGCAGCCCCCUGGGCCAACACUGACGCUCAGGUACGAAAGCGUGGGGAGCAAACAGG